GUACAAUACUGGGAGGAGGAGAAUCAAACCAGGAUGUACCUGCUGAAGAUUUAGCUAAUCGCGAGGGCAGUGCAGAAUUUCGAUAUUCGCAAACUGAUCACCACUUUGCAGUGCUUCAAAAACAAUUAAAGACUUGGCUUUUUUAUCGAGAUGUGUGCACCGGCUGUUCCUACAAUUGCUCACCUGUUUGAGAUGGAUGGCAUGCCUGGCAUGUCCAGCGUCAAUGAUGAAGUGACAAUUGUUGAUAUCUGGGUGAUGAAGGACUAUGAAAGCAAGAUGUGGCCUUCAGGUGCCGGGUUGAAUUGCCGGUUGCGGGGAUCAAGAUGUGGUUUGGAAUAAAUGGAUGUUGUUGGAAUUGGAAUGUGGUGGCCAUUCCUCAUGGCGAUCUUCUCGUGCUGGUCGAAAUUGGUGAUCGGCUGAUUCAGCUUGACAUGGAUAGCAAGUUGGUUGCCAGUUUCCGUCGUAACUACCUCAAUCUUACUCAAUUUCGGCUCAAACAAACCCUUGUUCAGCAUGCCUCUUUCCGACGCUAGAGUUGCCUUUCAUAUGAUGGCUGUCGAGUGAGGUGUUGCUUCUUUACGGCCUAGCUGCCCACAUCUGCAAUAUGUAUGUAGCUGAUCGAUCGCUCCACUAAGCUUUGAUGAUGUAUAAAAAGUCAUGCUGAAGAAACUUUGAUUGUUAGAGUUGCCUUUCUUUGAAUAUCCUUUGGGCUGAAGUGCCUGUCGUGGGUGCUGACGAUAUUGUCAAUUCAUCAUUUGAUCUGUCUCA
Brachypodium distachyon (stiff brome) is the source of this 768-nucleotide long non-coding RNA. RefSeq lists it as uncharacterized. The transcript is spliced from 2 exons. Lineage: Eukaryota; Viridiplantae; Streptophyta; Magnoliopsida; Poales; Poaceae. The record is from RefSeq and is a predicted model, not a curated record.